CACAGGCAACACCCAUAGAUGAAUAGAUA
RNAcentral lists this non-coding RNA (29 nucleotides) under Mus musculus (house mouse). The record is from RNAcentral. Lineage: Eukaryota; Metazoa; Chordata; Mammalia; Rodentia; Muridae.